RNAcentral lists this long non-coding RNA (2097 nucleotides) under Macaca fascicularis (crab-eating macaque). RNAcentral's name for it is "lncRNA (ENSMFAG00000051702.1)". The record is from RNAcentral. Lineage: Eukaryota; Metazoa; Chordata; Mammalia; Primates; Cercopithecidae.
UUUUUUUUUUUUUGAGAUGGAGUCUUGCUCUGUCACUUAGGCUGGGGUGCAGUGGCGCAUCUCCGCUCACUGCAAGCUCCGCCUCUCAGGUUCACGCCAUUCUCCUGCCUCAGCCUCCCACAUAGCUGGGACUACCGGCACCCACCAUCAUGCCCAGCUAAUUUUUUCUAUUUUUUUAGUAGAGACGGGGUUUCACCGUGUUAGCCAGGAUGGUCUCAAUCUCCUGACCUCGGCAUCUGCCCGCCUCGGCCUCCCAAAGUGCUGGGAUUACAGGCGUGAGCCACCAUGCCCAACCUCCACAUGUCAUUUCAUGCAGUGACCUUACGUCUUAUUCUGAGCAUGAGGUGAGAAAUGCAGAUUGGUUUAAUCUUAGUGGGCUUGGUUUUCAGGGCCUCUUAGUAUGAGCAUCUUGCCUGUGGGAAGCAUGUGAUCCCAGUGUUGAAGACACACAGUAUUCACACAGUAUGGCUCUAAAUACAAGCCACCUAUUUUAUCUCGCGCUUGGGUGAGAAGCAAGCCAUCUGCUCUAGUGCUGGGAGAAGGCUGUCUGUGUUGGACUGACUUAUGGAGAGACACUGCUUAGGUGUCCAGCAUACCUGGGGCCUUUCUGGUGGUUUGGUUUUCUGUGAUGUUCCCUUAUUUUUGAAUCUAACCUCCUGCACUCUUUCUAAAGUGUGUAUGAUGCUAUUGUGACUAAUGAAAGACAUAUUGAAAGUGUGCUGAAUUCAUAACACUUUUUUCAUUAUUAUUUUCUCAGUUAAUAGACACUAAAAUACAACUGACCUUCAAUAGAGGUCAUUAAAUUAGGAGUCAUCUUUUUGGAAAAGGCUGGAAGCUGUUAACCUGGAGCUGCAGCUGUUACAGAUUCCCAAGCCAAGCUGAAAGUCUAUGUUGGCCUCUGCCCCCAAAAGGCUGAGAUGCUCUCGAGUUUGGGUAAAGUAUAGUUAAUUGGACUUUAAUUCUUUGAAAAUGGACAAGCUCAAUAUGACUUGUAUGAUCGCUCUUGGUUAAUCAGAUUGUUAAAUUUACGGACCUCCUUUUCCCACACUCAUUUCCAAGACAGAUUCAGGCUACGUCUGCCUGUUUUGAUGCAUGCAAUUUACUUUAAAAUCCUGCAGUACAGAGCGCGUGAUGACAUGUAUAUGUCAGUUGGCUUAAGCUACACUUGAGGGGCAGUCCAUGGUCCUGACCAGGAACCUACACUCUGAGAGUGGACUCCAGCAUUUAAUCAGAAAGGCCACACUCCUGAGGCUGUUCCAGAAGGGCGUCUUCAUCUUUCUUUACCACUGACCUUUGAUCAUCACUAGAGACUUUGCUAAUGAGGCUAAUGAGCUCAAAGAAAGUUCCAAAUGGGUUUCAUUGGUGAAAAACAAAGAGCUCGUUAUUUAGCAUAAUAGAUGUAAUAAGUGAGUUCUCACUGGUGAGUUAGUGGUAUUCAAGAUGAGAAGUUUGGCUUAGAUAUUUUCCCAAAGCUCCUCAUCCUUGCCUGAAGGAGAUCUGAAUAGCUUGCAGACACUGUCCCCUUCUCCCACAGGGAUGGUACUUGAGACUUGAGCCCCCAAACAGUCCUUCAUUCAGCAGAUAGUUUGGAGGAUUUGGGUUGUCCGAUCAUCAUUGCUAGAUUAGCUCUCUCCUGCCUCUUGAGUGCUGUCAUAACUGCCUGGGGUGAGUGGUCCAUGUGAGGUGUGGUCAGGACACCUACAAGGACAGGCAGCUGGGAUUUUGUUGAUCUUAAACACCAAGUUUUAUAGCCUAGUGUCUGCUUACUAAUAAGUGUCUGCAUAUGGCACAGGGUUUGGUCUGAGACGUGCUUUUAUUAUAAGCUGGUAGCAAAGUUGCAGGAGAGUAGCUCAUUCUCAACCCCCUCCAACUACUGGUGGUUAUCAGUAACUACCACAAAGAACUAAAUAUAUGCUCAUGGUCAAAUUGCCUUAUGUUAGUUUAUACUACCUGGCAAAAGUACUACCUUUUGCACAAAUGGGAGGGAUUUUGUUUUCCACUUUAUGUAAUAUCCAUUUAAGUAACAACACGGACAACCAAAUCCCUAGCAAAUUACCUCUUACUUAGUGAAGAGGCACAACUUUCAUCUUUAAAAUA